RNAcentral lists this ribosomal RNA (524 nucleotides) under uncultured bacterium. Its description in RNAcentral is "partial 16S ribosomal RNA". It matches the Rfam family "Bacterial small subunit ribosomal RNA", at positions 28 to 523 of the family's 1533-position model. The record is from RNAcentral.
GACGAACGCUGGCGGCGUGCCUAAUACAUGCAAGUCGAACGAAGCUGUUUUAACUGGUGCUUGCACCGACUUAAUCAACUGAGUGGCGAACGGGUGAGUAACACGUGGGUAACCUGCCCCAAAGCGGGGGAUAACAUUUGGAAACAGAUGCUAAUACCGCAUAACCACAGAAACCACAUGGUUUCUGUGUCAAAGAUGGUUUCGGCUAUCACUUUGGGAUGGACCCGCGGCGUAUUAGCUAGUUGGUAAGGUAAUGGCUUACCAAGGCAAUGAUACGUAGCCGAACUGAGAGGUUGAUCGGCCACAUUGGGACUGAGACACGGCCCAAACUCCUACGGGAGGCAGCAGUAGGGAAUCUUCCACAAUGGACGAAAGUCUGAUGGAGCAACGCCGCGUGAGUGAAGAAGGUUUUCGGAUCGUAAAACUCCGUUGUCAGAGAAGAACGUGUGCGAGAGUAACUGCUCGUGCAGUGACGGUAUCUGGCCAGAAAGCCACGGCUAACUACGUGCCAGCCGCCGCGGUAA